RNAcentral lists this long non-coding RNA (311 nucleotides) under Linum usitatissimum (flax). RNAcentral's name for it is "long non-coding RNA (LUSI_LNC001057)". The record is from RNAcentral. Lineage: Eukaryota; Viridiplantae; Streptophyta; Magnoliopsida; Malpighiales; Linaceae.
AAUGGAGCAAGAAAUAAGCAAAGAUAGACUCAGAUCAGUUCAUAAACAGGAACUCCAGUCCCCCAAGGUAACGAUUUCAUGAGAAAAAGCACCAAACAGAAAGCACAAGCAUAUCUCUUAUUAUAUAUGGCUAAUUCAAAGAAAGGAAAUACUAGUAACCAGUUAUGUAUUAUGUUUAAGGAAUUCAUUUGAUAUAUGGCUCUACACCUACUACACAGCAGCAAACCAAAUCUUCUCUGCUUCUUCAUUGAUCCUUCUCCAUUUCCAUUGAUCUCAUCUAUGGUGAACCUGGUGCUACUUUCCUAAAGUUA